RNAcentral lists this ribosomal RNA (483 nucleotides) under uncultured bacterium. RNAcentral's name for it is "partial 16S ribosomal RNA". It matches the Rfam family "Bacterial small subunit ribosomal RNA", at positions 30 to 507 of the family's 1533-position model. The record is from RNAcentral.
AUUGAACGCUGGCGGCAGGCCUAACACAUGCAAGUCGAGCGGAUGAAGGGAGCUUGCUCCUGGAUUCAGCGGCGGACGGGUGAGUAAUGCCUAGGAAUCUGCCUGGUAGUGGGGGAUAACGUCCGGAAACGGGCGCUAAUACCGCAUACGUCCUGAGGGAGAAAGUGGGGAUCUUCGGACCUCACGCUAUCAGAUGAGCCUAGGUCGGAUUAGCUAGUUGGUGGGGUAAAGUCCUACCAAGGCGACGAUCCGUAACUGGUCUGAGAGGAUGAUCAGUCACACUGGAACUGAGACACGGUAAAGACUCCUACGGGAGGAAGCAGUGGGGAAUAGUGGACAAUGGGCGAAAGCCUGAUCCAGCCAUGCCGCGUGUGUGAAGAAGGUCUUCGGAUUGUAAAGCACUUUAAGUUGGGAGGAAGGGCAGUAAGUUAAUACCUUGCUGUUUUGACGUUACCAACAGAAUAAGCACCGGCUAACUUCGUG